UACGGAGGGUGCAAGCAUUAAUCGGAUUUAUUGGGCGUAAAGGGCGCGUAGGCGGGGCCUCAAGUUAAGUGUGAAAUUCCGAAGCUCAACUUCGGAGCGGCACUUAAGACUGAGGUUCUAGAGGAUUGGCGGAGAAAAUGGAAUUCCACGUGUAGCGGUGAAAUGCGUAGAUAUGUGGAAGAACACCGGUGGCGAAAGCGAUUUUCUAGCUUAUUCCUGACGCUGAGGCGCGAGAGCAAGGGGAGCAAAC
RNAcentral lists this ribosomal RNA (250 nucleotides) under uncultured bacterium. Its description in RNAcentral is "partial 16S ribosomal RNA". It matches the Rfam family "Bacterial small subunit ribosomal RNA", at positions 524 to 773 of the family's 1533-position model. The record is from RNAcentral.